This 1868-nucleotide ribosomal RNA is filed under the name Choanocotyle hobbsi. RNAcentral's name for it is "SSU rRNA". It matches the Rfam family "Eukaryotic small subunit ribosomal RNA". The record is from RNAcentral. Lineage: Eukaryota; Metazoa; Platyhelminthes; Trematoda; Plagiorchiida; Choanocotylidae.
UGCGAAUGGCUCAUUAAAUCAGCUAUGGUUCCUUAGAUCGUACCUACUACAUGGAUAACUGUAGUAAUUCUAGAGCUAAUACAUGCCACUAUGCCCUGACCCGCAAGGGGACGGGUGGAUUUAUUAGAACAGAACCAACCGGUUGUGGCUUCGGUCGCUUCCGUUGUACUCUGUGAUGACUCUGGAUAACUUCACUGAUCGCAGUCGGCCUUGUGUCGGCGACGGAUCUUUCAAAUGUCUGCCCUAUCAAUUUUCGAUGGUAGGUGACCUGCCUACCAUGGUGAUAACGGGUAACGGGGAAUCAGGGUUCGAUUCCGGAGAGGGAGCCUGAGAAACGGCUACCACUUCCAAGGAAGGCAGCAGGCACGCAAAUUACCCAAUCCCGGAACGGGGAGGUAGUGACGAAAAAUACGGAUACGGGACUCGUAUGAGGCUCCGUAAUUCGAAUGAGUACAAUUUAAAUCCUUUAACGAGGAUCAACUGGAGGGCAAGUCUGGUGCCAGCAGCCGCGGUAACUCCAGCUCCAGAAGCGUAUAUUAAAGUUGUUGCAGUUAAAAAGCUCGUAGUUGGAUCUGGGUCGUAUGGCUACGUGCCGUCGCCCGUAAUCGAAGCUUGGUUCCGACUAGGUCAAGUUUGCGGGUCGGUUUCGUGGCUGUGCAGCCUUUCUGCCGUGUCUGUUUCGACAGGUGCCGGCCUAAUCGAUGGGCUUGUCUCGUUGGUUGGUUGGCAUGCUUCCAGAUGCCUUUGAACGGGUGUCGGGGGCGGACGGUACGUUUACUUUGAACAAAUUUGAGUGCUCAAAGCAGGCCUGUGCCUGAAAAUUCUUGCAUGGAAUAAUGGAAUAGGACUUCGGUUCUAUUUUGUUGGUUUUCGGAUCCGAAGUAAUGGUUAAGAGGGACAGACGGGGGCAUUUGUAUGGCGGUGUUAGAGGUGAAAUUCUUGGAUCGCCGCCAGACAAACUACAGCGAAAGCAUUUGCCAAGGAUGUUUUCAUUGAUCUGGAGCGAAAGUCAGAGGUUCGAAGACGAUCAGAUACCGUCCUAGUUCUGACCAUAAACGAUGCCAACUGACGAUCCGUGGGUGAUCUUUUAAUGACCCUGCGGGCAGUCCCCGGGAAACCUUUAAGUCUUUGGGCUCCGGGGGAAGUAUGGUUGCAAAGCUGAAACUUAAAGGAAUUGACGGAAGGGCACCACCAGGAGUGGAGCCUGCGGCUUAAUUCGACUCAACACGGGAAAACUCACCCGGCCCGGACACUGUGAGGAUUGACAGAUUGAUAGCUCUUUCUUGAUUCGGUGGUUGGUGGUGCAUGGCCGUUCUUAGUUGGUGGAGCGAUUUGUCUGGUUAAUUCCGAUAACGAACGAGACUUUGGCCUGCUAAAUAGUAUACCUGUCCUCUGUGCUCGUGCAGGUGGCGGUUCUCUCUGCCCUUUCGGGGGUGGGUGAGGCUGUUUACCGGCGGGUACUGCGCAGGCAUUUACUUCUUAGAGGGACAAGCGACGCGAAAGUCGCACGAAAAUGAGCAAUAACAGGUCUGUGAUGCCCUUAGAUGUCCGGGGCCGCACGUGCGCUACAAUGACGGUUUCAGCGAGUUUUGAAUCCUGGCCCGAAAGGGUUGGGCAAACUGAAUCAUCACCGUCGUGACUGGGAUCGGGGCUUGCAAUUAUUCCCCGUGAACGAGGAAUUCCUGGUAAGUGCAAGUCAUAAGCUUGCGCUGAUUACGUCCCUGCCCUUUGUACACACCGCCCGUCGCUACUACCGAUUGAAUGGUUUAGCAAGGUCAUCGGAUCGGUGCCAUUGUAGUUGUUUCGGCAACUCGACCGGUGCUGAGAAGACGACCAAACUUGAUCAUUUAGAGGAAGUAAAAGUCGUA